UCCUUCGUGAUGAAAUGGUAAACAUGCGCGAUUCAAAAUCGUGUGCCCUUGGCUUGCCGGUUCAAGUCCGGUCGAAGGUA
This is a non-coding RNA of Genlisea aurea, 80 nucleotides long. NCBI's taxonomy places the organism in Eukaryota, Viridiplantae, Streptophyta, Magnoliopsida, Lamiales, Lentibulariaceae. The record is from Rfam.